RNAcentral lists this ribosomal RNA (492 nucleotides) under uncultured bacterium. RNAcentral describes it as "partial 16S ribosomal RNA". It matches the Rfam family "Bacterial small subunit ribosomal RNA", at positions 29 to 507 of the family's 1533-position model. The record is from RNAcentral.
AGUGAACGCUGGCGGUAGGCCUAACACAUGCAAGUCGAACGGCAGCACAGUAAGAGCUUGCUCUUACGGGAGGCGAGUGGCGGACGGGUGAGGAAUACAUCGGAAUCUACUUUUUCGUGGGGGAUAACGUAGGGAAACUUACGCUAAUACCGCAUACGACCUACGGGUGAAAGCAGGGGAUCUUCGGACCUUGCGCGAUUGAAUGAGCCGAUGUCGGAUUAGCUAGUUGGCGGGGUAAAGGCCCACCAAGGCGACGAUCCGUAGCUGGUCUGAGAGGAAGAUCAGCCACACUGGAACUGAGACACGGUCCAGACUCCUACGGGAGGCAGCAGUGGGGAAUAUUGGACAAUGGGCGCAAGCCUGAUCCAGCCAUACCGCGUGGGUGAAGAAGGCCUUCGGGUUGUAAAGCCCUUUUGUUGGGAAAGAAAAGCAGCAGGUUAAUACCCCGCUGUUCUGACGGUACCCAAAGAAUAAGCACCGGCUAACUUCGUG